AUAAGCAAGAUCGUCGUCCGUCCUUUGAUCUCACUUUUUUAUUUAAGGGCAAAAAAAUCCUUUGUGGUCCCACCCACUUUUUUAUUUAAGGGCAAAAAAAUGACAUUUUAUAUUUUAUAUUACCAACUCUUCUAAAAAGUAGAUAGAAAUACUUUAUUAUAUUUCUAUUUUUCUACUAUAUAGAAGCAUCGGUUUACCCAUGCUUCGUCGUCAGUCACUCUUAAAAAAAAAAAAAAAAGUGGACCCCACCCUCUCCAAACUCAUGAAAAAAAAAGUGGAUCCCA
Lycium ferocissimum is the source of this 284-nucleotide long non-coding RNA. RefSeq lists it as uncharacterized. The record is from RefSeq and is a predicted model, not a curated record. Lineage: Eukaryota; Viridiplantae; Streptophyta; Magnoliopsida; Solanales; Solanaceae. The transcript is spliced from 2 exons.